UACAGAGAGUGCAAGCGUUAAUCGGAAUUAUUGGGCGUAAAGGGUGUGUAGGUUGUUAAAAAGUUAGAUGUGAAAUCCCUGGGCGUAACCUAGGAAUUGCAUUUAAUACCUUUUAUCUAGAGUAUUGUAGGGGGAAGUGGAAUUUCCGGUGUAGCGGUGAAAUGCGUAGAUAUCGGAAGGAACACCAGUGGCGAAGGCGACCACCUGGCCAAAUACUGACGCUGAGGUGCGAAAGCGUGGGGAGCAAACAGGAUUAGAAACCCCAGUAGU
This 270-nucleotide ribosomal RNA is filed under the name uncultured bacterium. RNAcentral describes it as "partial 16S ribosomal RNA". It matches the Rfam family "Bacterial small subunit ribosomal RNA", at positions 524 to 794 of the family's 1533-position model. The record is from RNAcentral.